Cydia fagiglandana is the source of this 414-nucleotide long non-coding RNA. RefSeq lists it as uncharacterized. NCBI's taxonomy places the organism in Eukaryota, Metazoa, Arthropoda, Insecta, Lepidoptera, Tortricidae. The transcript is spliced from 2 exons. The record is from RefSeq and is a predicted model, not a curated record.
UUUUUCCGAAACUAUAAGAACUAUACUGUUGAAACUUGGUGAGUAGAUGUAUUCUGUGAACCGCAUUAAGAUUUUGACACAAAAAUAGAAGAAAAAAAACGAUAAAUUUUUGGGGUUCCCCAUACUUAGAACUGAAACUCAAUUUUUUUUUCAUCAAACCCAUACGUGUGGGUUAUCUAUGUAUAGGUCUUCAAAAAUGAUAUUGAGGUUUCUAAUAUCAUUUUUUUCUAAACUGAAUAGUUUGCACGAGAGACACUUCCAAAGUGGUAAAAUGUGUCCCCCCCCCCCUGUAACUUCUAAAAUAAGAGAAUGAUAAAUCUAAAAAAAAUAUAUGAUGUACAUUACCAUGCAAACUUCCACCGAAAAUUGGUUUGAGCGAGAUCUGGUAAGUCGUUUUUUUUAAUACGUCAUAAA